CCCCGCGGAUCCCCCCUCUCCUGGGAGAAGAGCCGCCAUCGGGCCCGCCGCGGGAAGCGGAGCCGGGCGCCGUUCCCCCUCCGCGACGGGCCUGGGCAGCGGAACGUCCCGUCGGGCCUGCGGGCGGAGGAGGGAGCGCGGGGCGUUCCGGCUGCUGCCGGCAGCUCCGCCCUCCUGCCGGCCCGCUGCCCGCGGCAGGAGGGGCUGCGAGAGGGGCUGAGGGGAGCCGGGACAGCGGCCUGAGCCUCUCCUGAUCUCACCCCGGGAGGCGGGGGAAGGAAGGCAAGAUGUGCUUCUGAAGGAGGGGAAAGGGAGCAUGCUCCUUCUGCAUCUUCUCCAGGCAACAGGUGAAAGAGCUUCAACUCCUCAUGAAAGACAGCAAGAGUCAGCUCCUGCUCCAAGCACACAGGCAAGUCAGUAUGUGAACACAUGGAUUUUGUCAGUGCUCCCCCUCGGCCAGAUCUAUGUCCUACAACCAAAGGAUCAAGCAGUGUGAAAUGUUCUCACUGCCCUGUGUGCUUCCUAUCUGCUGUGAUGUAGAGAAUUCAGGGACAGAAACAGAGUCAUCAAAGAGCUGCCAUCAGAGGUUUGCUUAGCUCACUAGCAAUUGCUGCUUCAAGCCACCUAUCAAUACCAGCUCCACUCUCAAAUGUUGAUCCAAGUGUCACACGCAUAUCUCAUGUUUAAUUUUAUUAUAUCACAAAGCAGGUAGCCAAUAUAUGCAAAAUGACUGUUUUGAAAAAUAUUUCAGCAGUGUAUUUAUUGAUAAUUAGUACUGAUAGAGAGUACCUGUGGUGGCAAGGCAGAGCAGUGUCAGUUACUAUAUUUAUGAAUUGUGUCUCACAAGAAAAUCACUCUUUAAAUCCAUCAGAUGAUAAGCUUGAAUUCAGUUUUAAUGGAACUUCUAAUCCUUGUGGUUUUGUCUUAUAUUUUGAAAUAAAAUAUUUCCUUGCUUAAACUGAACUUUCUCUAAAUGUUGCAAUAAGAUAACUAAGCAUUAUCUCUCUAAGUGUAGCAUUUCUUGGUUUGGACAGUAAACAGACUGGGUUGUUUCCAUUUCAGUAACACUGAUUUCAUUUUUAGGUUUUCUUUCAUAUUAGACAUAAAGUGAAGUUUAAAGUGUCUGCUCUGCAAUAUGAUACUUUUUUAGAGCACUAAUCCUGAGGUAUUUGUAAUAAUUAUAUAUUUUAUAAUAAUUCUAUGAAUUGUAUAUAUUAAUUCUGUAUUUGAGAUAAAGUAGUCUGGGUGGAAAUAGAAAUAAAAUUGUUCACCAAUA
Apus apus (common swift) is the source of this 1276-nucleotide long non-coding RNA. RefSeq lists it as uncharacterized. Lineage: Eukaryota; Metazoa; Chordata; Aves; Apodiformes; Apodidae. The record is from RefSeq and is a predicted model, not a curated record. The transcript is spliced from 2 exons.